Molecule: long non-coding RNA, 499 nt
Organism: Manduca sexta (tobacco hornworm)
Lineage: Eukaryota; Metazoa; Arthropoda; Insecta; Lepidoptera; Sphingidae
Exons: 2
Source: RefSeq, a predicted model, not a curated record
GUUUGAAGUAGUUGCGAAUUUCUGGUCUCUUCGCCUUCAUCGUGGGCGUCAGCAGGCCGUUCUGUACCGAGAACGGAUCUGGGUGCAGGUAUAUAUCUUUCACCUGGAACAAACGUGGUAUAAUGCAUCCGAGGGCACAUCGCGCGAAGGUCAGGACGUUGCCAGCCAGCGGGGCCGACCCCACCACCAUGAUGCGGAGCCUGCCGCCCAUGCCCUCGCGCACCUUGCGGAAUACCAACUUGUCCCAGAUGGAAUCGCUUCGGAUUAUACCUCUGUAUAAGAAUAAUUAAAAUUGUAUAUUUGAUUUUUUAUGCGAUACAAGAUUUUGAAAGAGACAUACAAGGCAAAUCGAAUGCUAGGCAAUUAUCUCUGAAAAGAAUGAAAAUAACUAAACUGGAACAGUAAUAAUAAUGAAUACAGAUUCUUACGACAAAAAAGCUACUUACUUACUAUUUAGAUACAAGAGUAGUAAAAUAUAAUACAUUUUAUUAUCGCUCAA